Molecule: long non-coding RNA, 505 nt
Filed under: Helianthus annuus (common sunflower)
Lineage: Eukaryota; Viridiplantae; Streptophyta; Magnoliopsida; Asterales; Asteraceae
Description: hypothetical non coding rna
Source: RNAcentral
GAGUGUAAGUAGGAAGAUGAACUCUUGAAUCUUGUAAUCAAGAAGCCCCAACCCACUUGCUAUGAAGCCUUCAAACAUUCUUGCAGAAUGCAUAUAGCACGGGUAGUGAUGGAUCUUCCUCCUUAUAAAAUUAUCCCUAAGAGAAUGAAAGGUUUGCAUCUGUUGAAAUGGGAGAGUAGUUUAGGCGAUUAUUAGCAAAACCUCAACAAGAAUUUCCAGAAAGUGUGAUGGAAAUUAGAGGAAAAGGAUAAUUUAAUGUGGUGGAGCUAACUCGCAAGUCUUUAUUCCCUGCAACUGCGUAUGAUCUUUGUAUGAAGCUGAAGGAAAAAGAAAUUCUUGCAAAACCGACUCAUAAUGCUAAUAUUGGGUUGAACUCCUCUUUCCAUCAGGACAUCCUUGCUAAUCUUGAAUGCUCACUGCUUGUGGCCUGAUGUCAUAAGUGUUUUAGUCGUAACUGUACAUGGUAAUGUUCAUGUCCUGCUCAAGCUCGUAAUUUAAGGGAUUC